AAUUAAGCUACUAAGGGUGGAUGGGGGAUGCCUUGGCUCCGAGAGGCGAUGAAGGACGCUGCGAGCUGCGA
Molecule: ribosomal RNA, 71 nt
Filed under: Planctomycetota bacterium
Lineage: Bacteria; Pseudomonadati; Planctomycetota
Description: Planctomycetes bacterium (groundwater metagenome) partial 23S ribosomal RNA
Source: RNAcentral